UUCCCCAGACCCCACCUGGUGGGUAGUAGUAGUUGUUGUUGUUGUUGUUGUUUCAAACAUGGAACGGGGGUGUUAAAAGUUAAAACAUAUUUCAAACAUGACACUGGGGUGUUAAAUCAGCUUUUUAUCUUCCUAGCAGGCGGGUUUUUCUCUUUCGUGGCAUUGCAUUUUUUCAUCCUAUCCAUUGUUCUAUCCCUAUCACCUGGU
This 207-nucleotide long non-coding RNA is filed under the name Nicotiana benthamiana. RNAcentral describes it as "long non-coding RNA (NBEN_LNC001185)". Lineage: Eukaryota; Viridiplantae; Streptophyta; Magnoliopsida; Solanales; Solanaceae. The record is from RNAcentral.